CUACGGGAUGCUCCAGUGAGGAAUAUUGCACAAUGGGGGGAACCCUGAUGCAGCAACGCCGCGUGGAGGAUGACGCAUUUCGGUGUGUAAACUCCUUUUAUAUGUCAAGAAAAUGACGGUAGCAUAUGAAUAAGCACCGGCUAACUCCGGGCCAGCAGCCGCGGUAAUACGGAGGGUGCAAGCGUUACUCGGAAUCACGGGGCGUAAAGGACGCGUAGGCGGGUUGGAAAGUCAGGUGUGAAAUCCUACAGCUUAACUGUAGAACUGCACUUGAAACUUCUAAUCUAGAGUAUGGGAGGGGGAGAUGGAAUUAGUGGUGUAGGGGUAAAAUCCGUAGAUAUCACUAGGAAUACCUAAAGCGAAGGCGAUCUCCUGGAACAUUACUGACGCUAAGGCGUGAAAGCGUGGGGAGCAAACAGGAUUAGAUACCCUAGUAGUC
This 439-nucleotide ribosomal RNA is filed under the name uncultured bacterium. Its description in RNAcentral is "partial 16S ribosomal RNA". It matches the Rfam family "Bacterial small subunit ribosomal RNA", at positions 339 to 795 of the family's 1533-position model. The record is from RNAcentral.